CAAAUAAAUUCAAUGGCAAGAAUAUGACAGAUUUUAAUUAGAGACAAUUUGGUAAUUAAGCAUUAUAUUUGCAUCCAGUUUAAAUGCAAUAGCAAAAGAGGCAAUUUAUAGCAGUGAUUAUUUAUUAUUAUUUAUCUUUAUAGAGAAGUAAAAGAUCCGAGAUAUUUAACAGAGAAAAUAUCUACCAAAGCUGCGAAAGAAAUGUACGAACAUACAUUGAAGAUCGAAAGUGAAUAUAAACACAUUAUAAAUGCUGUGAUUCCCGGUUCGAAUUUGGCUUACAUGUGCACACAAAUUAAAACGUGCGUCGAAGACGAGCAGAGUAAGACUUUGUGGGUGCCUUGUGGAAGUCUCUAACUACUCCCUAUUAAUUUAAAACCUUUCCCCAGUGAUUUUAAUAAUUAAGGACGAGACCAUUUUCUUUUAGAAAAUAGAAAGAUUAGAAUAUUCCAUUCAUUUGACGAAAGAAAAUCAAUGGAAUUUGGAACGGAUCCUCUUUUGGGCUGUAAAAAAUCAUUAACAGUAUUCGAAUGCUAUUCUUAUUUUGAUAAGUGAAUGUUAAACAUAAAAAAAAAAGACAGACAAUAAAAACUUUCCGUGUCACGUGAUUCAACGUUUGCAUAAAUGCUAUUUGAAGAUACGACGAGUAUAAACGAAUAGUUUUUAUAAUCCCUCGAAUUUGUGUGAUCUUCCCUUUUUUUAUUGGUGCAAUGAAGUUCCUUGUAAAUUAAAUGUCAAAUUUAUAGUCAGACUAUUUUACAACAGAUCUAUGUCCUGCCACACGACUCAAAUUGGUUGUAAAUAUUAUUAUUAAAUAAAGUUUUAAUGAAGUUUUAAA
This is a long non-coding RNA of Centruroides sculpturatus (bark scorpion), 838 nucleotides long. RefSeq lists it as uncharacterized. Lineage: Eukaryota; Metazoa; Arthropoda; Arachnida; Scorpiones; Buthidae. The record is from RefSeq and is a predicted model, not a curated record. The transcript is spliced from 2 exons.